RNAcentral lists this long non-coding RNA (1484 nucleotides) under Marmota monax (woodchuck). The record is from RNAcentral. Lineage: Eukaryota; Metazoa; Chordata; Mammalia; Rodentia; Sciuridae.
CCUCACUUCCUAAAUUUGUGCUCUAGAGUUCUGCUAUUCCACAUAGUGCAGCAUAGAGAUUUGAUACUGUCAGGAGUGUUUAGACCAGGAAUCAGCUAAAUGAUAUGUUAACAUACACAAAGGGAUAACUCUUGACAGCACAGGAGAGCUCUGGGAGACACCUACUGAAUGUAAUUUCAAUUGUAAGAAAAAUAAUACCAGCUAUGAAAGGUUUCAUGUUCAGACUAGAUUCCACUAUAUAACAGAAAUAACUUCUAUCAUAUAAUCAAACAGGAUGACUAAUUUUUCUUAAUCUUUAGGUCUUAAUUCUUCUUUUAUCCUUUUAUUUGGGAGUGUAUGUUAACAAUGCACCCUAAAGAAAAUAUGAGUUUUUCUGGCAAUUAAGAAAAUUGGAUCCAGAGCCAUAUGGGCUGACUUCUAAUCCUAACUUGCAGUUACUAGCUGUGUGGUUUACAAAUCAUCUAAACCCUGUGGCCCAGUUGCACCUAAUUGCACCUAAAAUGAAGAUAGUAACUACCUUUGGGGGUUGCUGUAAAGAUUAAAUAAAUUAAUUUACCACAGUGCUGGGUACAUAAUAAAUGACACUUUACUGAUAUAUUUUCACAUAAAUGAAAGUUUGGAAAAACGUUAAUUUCGAACCAAAAACAAUCUCAACAGUAUUGUGGUAAUUAUGCAUUUACUUAUUUGUAUCUACCCCUAGAGUGUUCUCUGUGACUUCUCCACAUACUUCACCAAUCCUUUAUACUCAGCACUCAACACCAUGUAAGACACAAAUACACACACAUACACUGCACUGCACUAUAAGGCCCUUAUUUACUGAAACCUUAAAGCCUUGCGAGGGGAGAGAAAAAAUUCUUGGAAUGUAUUUAUUCAAACAAAUGGCAACAAGUUCACGAACUAAGAAAAAAGGAUAUGAAUACAUUCCAUACUGGAGAUUGCUUACACAGUAAGCAGGGACUACAUAAUGCAAUAUGAAAAGUAUUAUUUUAAAAUUUUACAACGGCCAUUUACUUUAAGAUUACAAAAAUAAACCAAGAUCUUUUUACUCUUAGUGAAGAAUUGGGAGUAAGGGUUUAGACUGUCCGACCAGAAGCACGUCCGUUCUCUGGGAACUCGUGGCAAAUUCUUGUGGGCAUUUCUAGUUUACACCCUUUCUGUGAUAAGUACGGUAUUAAGUAUUUCUGGCCACCACAUUCUGGCUUGGUAGUAGUUCCCCUAAAAAUGGAAUGGCAAAUAAUCUUCUUCAUCCUUUUCUCACAGUGGCAACCAAAUUCCAGUCAAAAGCGCACACAAACUUGUUUAGGAAUGUAGCGCAAUGUUAAACGAAUGCAAGUCUGCAUUCGGCUUCCUCUGGCUCAGUCACUAGCUAUGUGACCUUACAGAAGUCUGGUUACCUACAAAUCUGGAAGAAAUGCACCAGUGCACAAACGGAGACCGGGGCAAAAUCGGACAUUCAACUUAUCUUGCUAAGAGCGCCAGAUUCC